CUACAAAUCAGAGACUCAGGUAGCACAAACUUUUGGAGGAAGUCUGCUGAGAAAUGCAUGGAGCUGGGGGCUUGGGAAGAGAGAAACUUCUUCCAUUCUGAGUUACCUGUGAAAUAGGCUGCCUGGUUCCUAAAUGACCCAUUUUAGGUCUGUCUCAGUGUAGCCUUGCUUCUGGCCACUUGUCACAGAGCAGAAUUUCUGAGAGACUCUACUGCCCUUCUAUACUCUCCACUGAUAAAAAUAUUUAAACAGGAUGACUCAGAUGGACUUGGGAUAUGAGAACUAAAACCAUAAUGUCCUUCUACUUUUGAGUUGACUAGAAUACCCAAAAUCACAUUAGUAAAGAGUUGUACUUUGGACUCCACACUCUGUUAAAAGGCAAAUAUAGGUAAAGGGAAACAACCUUUAUUAGCCACUCACCUCUUGAAUAAGAGAGUGUCUUAUCAGAAUUCUUCCAGGAGUUCCCGUCAUGGCUCAGUGGUUAACGAAUCCGACUAGGAACCAUGAGGUUGCGGGUUCGAUCCCUUGGCUUUGCUCAGUGGGUUAAGGAUCCGGCAUUGUCAUGAGCUGUGGUGUAAGCUGCAGACGUGGAUUGGAUCCCGAGUUGCUGUGGCUGUGGUGUAGGCCAGCAUCUACAGCUCCAAUUCGACCCCUAGCCUGGGAACUCCAUAUGCUGCGGGAGGGGCCCAAGAAAUGGCAAAAAGACAAAAAAAAACAAAAACAAACAAACAAAAAAACUCUUCCAAAGAAAACAAAAACAAGGUGCACCUAUCUCCAAAUUUUGCAAAGGAAUAAUAUUUUCCUGAUUUUCUGACUUUCUUUGAUAAAAAUUUUUAGAGUUUUCUUCUCCUAAACUUCUUCUUAAAUAUUCAAUUUUAAAAUAGUAUUUUUCUGGAGUUUCCAUGUUGCUCAGUAGGUUAAGGAUCUGGCAUUGUCACUGCAGUGGCUCAGCAAAUAAAUUAAAAACAAAAACAAACAAACAAACAAAAAAACAGUACUUUCCCUAAAAAUAUCUUCUUCUUUUUUUUUUUUUUUUUUGUCUUUUUAGAGCUCCAUCCACGGCAUAUGUAGGUUCCCAGGCUAGGGGUCCAAUUGGAGCUGCAGCAGCCGGCCUACACCACAGCCACAGCAACACAAGAUCCGAGGUAGGUCUGCAUCCUACACCACAGCUCACAGCGACAAUGGAUUCUUAACCCACUGAGCAAGGCCUGGGAUCGAAACCAUAUCCUCUUGGAUGCUAGGCAGGUUCAUUAACUGCUAAGCCAAGAUGGGAACUCCUAAAAACAUCUUUUAAUAAUAGGCAUUAUGAGAGGAAUAGAAAAAGAGAUAUACAGAAAAUGCUUCCCAAUAGAUCUGAAGCUAUCAUUAAAAAACAAAACAAGUCUUUAAGCCAUUUUGAGUUUAUUUUCAUGCAUGGUGUGAGGGUGUGUUCUAGUUUCAUUGAUUUAUAGGCAGCUGUCCAGGUUUCCCAGCAAUACUUGCUGAAAAGACUCUCUUUUUCCCAUUUUAUGUUCUUGCCUCCUUGUCAAAGAUUAAUGGACCAUAGGUGUCUGGGUUUAGUUCUGGGUUCUCUAUUCUGUUCCAUUGGUCUGCAUGUCUGUUUUGGGACCAGUACCACACUGUCUUGAUGACUGUGGCUUUGUAAUAGUGCCUGAAGUCUGGGAGAGAGAUGCCUCCUGCUUGGUUUUUGUUCCUCAGAAUGGCUUUGGCAAUUCUGGGUCUUUUGUGGUUCCAUAUAAAUGUUUGGAUUGUUUGUUCUAGGUCUGUGAAAAAUGUCAUGGGCAAUUUGAUAGGGAUUGCAUUGAAUCUGUGGUUUGAUUUGGGUAAUGUGGCCAUUUUUACAAUAUUAAUUUUUCCAACCCAGGAGCAUGGAAUAUCUUUCCAUUUCUUGACAUCUUCUUGAAUUUCCUUGAUUAAUGUUUUAUAGUUCUCAGCAUGUAAGUCCUUUACCUCCUCGGUCAGGUGUAUUCCCAGGAUUUGAUUUUGGGGGGUGUGCAAUUUUAAAAGGGAUUGUGUUUUUGUAUUCCUUUUCUAAUAUUUCAUUGUUAGUAUACAGAAAUGUGACUGAUUUCUGAAUGUUAAUCUUAAAUCCUGCUACUUGGCUGAAUGUGUUGAUCAGUUCAAGUAGUUUUUGGGUUGAGUCCUUACGGUUUUCUACAUAUAGUAUGAAAUCAUUUGCAUACAGUGACAGUUUUACCUCUUCUCUGCCUAUUUAGGUGCCUUUUAUUUCUUUUGUUUGUCUGAUUACUGUGGCUAAGACUUCCAGUACUAUGUUGAAAAACAGUGGUGAGAGUGGGCAUCUUUGUCUUGUUCCAGAUUUUAGUGGGAAGGCUUUCAGCUUUUCUCCAUUGAGUAUUGGUUUUGGUGUGGGUUUGUCGUAAAUGGCUUUAAUUAUGUUAAGGUGGGUUCCCUCUAUACCCACUGUGGUAAGAGUUUUGAUCAUGAAUGGAUAUUGGACUUUGUCAAAUGCUUUCUCUGCAGGUAUUGAGAUGAUCAUGUGGUUUUUGACUUUUCUUUUGUUAAUGUGUAACUGGGUCACCAUGCUGUACAGUAGGAAAAAAUAAUGUAUUGGGAAAUAACAAUUUAAAAAAAUUUUAAAAAAUUAAAAAAAAAUAAAAUUUAGAUAACAUGGGAGGCUUAUUAUAGUUUCCACCACAUAGACUAUACCAACAAUUUACAUAACGGCUCUUGGACACUAAGCUCUGGCAGCUAUAAUUUCUUAGAAGUUUAAUCCCAGUGUUUUUAUUUUUCUCCGUGCAUCUUCUUACAUUAUAGAUAAAACAUUACAAUUCAGAAACCACACUCAGAAACAAUCAAGUUAACCCAUAACUUCUGGAACAUUCAAGUUAACUCUUACUAUACUUCUGACUGGUAGAGGUAAUUUCUAAUUGUUGAGGAAAUUUCUGUCUUCUCCUUGUAGGUGUGGAAACUGCUCCUGAAUUUCACUGGCCAUCAGUGGUGACAGGGCUCAGAACUAAGACUAAGGCUUGGGUACCAGUUUAUCAAUUCUCCUCCCCUUCAUCAUGAAUCCCAAAGCACCUCAGAAGGGCAGCCAUUGUAUGUCCAAUGCCAUACAAUUCCCAUAUAGACUCCCAGGAGGGGGAAUGGUGGUCCUGGGAUGUGAGUACCACAACCCUCUACUUUCUGAAGCAAAACAAAAUGCAAUACAUCAACAUGAGGAGGCACUACCCAACAUUAUUUUUUAACUUAAAAUGUACCUCAGUAAAAUCAGAAUGUCAACCCAUGCAGUCUUUGCUCUUAACCAUUUUACUUAGCUCUCAUUCCCCAAUAAUAAAAUAGCAGCAUAUUUUGUAUAAUGUGAUACAUACAUUACUGAAAGUUCCAUCAUUUCUCAAAAUCUGCUUUUCCUCCUAAGUUACUGAUGCUGGUUACUGACACAACCCAUCCAACCUAUCUAACUAAGCCAGAUACCUGCUUCUAAAUUCCCUAAGGCUAAUCAUUAUCACUAUUAAUCUGUCAAUUCUAUUUCCUGCAUGUCUCUCAGUCUUUCCUCUCCUGUCUACUGCUUCUGCUCUGGCCUUGUCCACUCUCCCUGGGCCCCUGCAACAGCCUCCUCCAUGGAUGCCCUGUCACUUCUUUCACAUCCUUUAUCCAUUCUUUCUCCAAUGAGCCUAAAACACAACCUGAUUAUACUACUCUCACUGAUAAAACCCUCUUAUGAGGUCCCAUCCUCUAUACCAGGGCUUAUCAAAAUAUUUCACAAAUGUAUUCAUCAUUCUAAGGGUCUUUUAAAAAGUAAAGAUUUGUGGCUGCCACCCUGGCCUUACCCUACCAGAAUUUCUGGGAAUGGGGCCCAGGAAUCUGAAUUUUGAUAAACUCUCCAGGAGAUUUUUACAGCAUGCAAGUUAGAGCAAUAGAGAUGUGAGAAGAAAUUCCACCUCCCAUUGAGGCUGCAAAGGUCCCCAGGAUCCGGUCUUACCUCCUCUCCUGCUGCCUCACACGUGCUCUCCCACAACACUCAGUUGUGCUGCAGCUGCGCUAGGCCACUCGCAUUGCCUUUGCAUGUGUAGCUGUCUGUCUGUUCUGUCCUGUGCGCUCUGGCCAUCUUCUAAGGUACAUCUCCUAUACUGUCCACUCCGUGAGGCCCUCCUUGAAUACACCAUGCUAAGCCAAGUAAUCCUUUCCUUCUUUCUCCCUUUGCCCCAGGAUGAUACCUUCAGAUGGCACUGUAGCUGUUUGUUUACCUGCCUGCCUCCCUUGCUGCACUGAGAACUCCUUAAGAAGUAAAGCCUGUCUUUUUCAGAUUUUACCUUCAUUUCUUUUUCAGAUCUUACUCCACUGGAACAGAGAGAACACUGACCAAUUUUUGCUGCGUGAACAAUCUUGUGUUUACCAAGCUCUGUGAAACAGACAAUUCCACAUCAGGACAGAGCAGCAGGAGUGGGUAUCAUUAGAGAUGACUUUCAUAUCAAGAAAUGGAGCCUCAUCACAAACCACAACCAGGUCAUCCCUUUCCUGCCUAAAGUCAAAAAGACCUCUAAAACUUUUCCCACUGCCGCACUCUGGGUCAGUUAGGGUGAAACUUCUUGGCAAAGCUGCCUUUUAGCAGUUUCUCUUUCCACACUGUAAAAGCUGUAGACGGAAAUUGAAACAAUGUUUGAAAUACAAGUCUGUGUAGUUAGCAUAGAAAGCUUGCAAUUAGAGAAAUAAACUGAGCCACUGACAGCAGGGAUGCUGGAUGUUGCAUUAAAUAGGCUGCUUUUGUAAACACAUGACAGAAGCUAACUUUAACCAGUCAAGUAAAAUGGAAAAUCUUCUAAUGAUACUAGGUAUUUUACGUAUCUCACACUUAAGAAUGCAGCUGGAGAUGAGGGACAUGCAGAACUGGGGGCGUGAACACACUGGCAAUCCCCCCACUUCUCAGCUUUGCUUCAUUCAUCACUUGCUACACAUACACACUAUGGAAAGCAUAGUUGCUGUAACUCCUGAGUUUCAGAUGUCAUAGUUGUAGACUCUAAAGAGAUCCUGACAGAACGCUCAGGGGAGCAGCUCAAUAACCUGAGUCAAUAGUUGAGUCAAUAGUCAAUAGUUGAGUCAAUGACUGCGUUUUUCCUGGUUAAUUCAGUAUGACAGGGACACCAUAGAACCACACUGGAAUGUGGGGCUCCAGCUAGUUAUUUGAAAGGCAGAGAUAAGCGGAGUGGGAAAUCUUUUAAGUGAUCACCGGAGAGAAUAACCUCACUGAAACUGGAAGCAAAGAGGAGAGUUUAAAUUGUGAGUGAUUCAGGUUGGAGAUGUGGAAUGGGACAAGUGAACAAGAAGGCCCGGGCCAGGACUAUGCCAGAGGCUGGGCCAAGAUCUCCCCUGGUGAAAGCCUUUAACAAUGCCAGAGUGAGGAACUGACAGUCAAGCUCAAGGUUAUCUGCAUAUUACAUAGCAUUCGUUGCUGUGCCUGCUAAAGUUAAAUAUUCAUGCUCUAAAUAAGAAAUUUGUUUCAGAGUAGUUUUAGUUUUUAACUAAAUCUUUGUGUCAUCUUUCUAAAGCUCUGAGAAGAGAAACAUCUUCUUUAAAGAGAGUAAACAGUUGCAUAAAACAGUAAGUUUAGACCCUGAUAUGUCUGGCUUUCCACUUGAACACCUCUACCAUUCAUGGGCUCUCGGACUACGGAGAAAGUUCAGUUCUGACUGCCCCAGAGCCUUAGAUACUCCAUAUGUUUUUCUUAAUAAUGGCCACCUGUUAUGUAUUUUAGGUUAUUUAGUCCAAGUUGUAAUUGCCCAUCCUGCAACUAUUUGUUGAUA
RNAcentral lists this long non-coding RNA (5759 nucleotides) under Sus scrofa (pig). RNAcentral describes it as "lncRNA (ENSSSCG00060049236.1)". Lineage: Eukaryota; Metazoa; Chordata; Mammalia; Artiodactyla; Suidae. The record is from RNAcentral.